AAUCGGACAUAGUACGAUAAGGUUGUAUGUCUAAAGGGAAACAGCCCAGAACAAGAGUAAUAAGGUUCCUAAAUUAUUAUUAAGUGAAAUAAAGGAUAUAAAUAUAUAAUACAACCAGGAAAUAGGCUUAGAAGCGGUCAUUUUUUAAAGAUCUCGUAAUAGAGCACUGGUUAAUUUAUUCUUUAAUAUAUAGAUACCUAAAAUUUAACGGAUCUAAAUAAUAUACCGAUACCUUGUACAUAUUUAAAUUAAUUUAAAUAUGAGAUAGCGGAACAUUGGAUAAAAUAGUAGAGAUAAAAAUAAAUUAUAUUAUAUUUAAUUAAUCUAAGAAUCCAAGAGAGAAUGCUGACAUGAGUAACGAAAAAGGAUUAUAAAUAAUAUCCUCGCCUUAAGCUUAUGGUAUUUGA
RNAcentral lists this ribosomal RNA (407 nucleotides) under Paracoccidioides brasiliensis. RNAcentral describes it as "LSU rRNA". It matches the Rfam family "Bacterial large subunit ribosomal RNA", at positions 982 to 1357 of the family's 2925-position model. The record is from RNAcentral. Lineage: Eukaryota; Fungi; Ascomycota; Eurotiomycetes; Onygenales; Ajellomycetaceae.